RNAcentral lists this ribosomal RNA (440 nucleotides) under uncultured bacterium. Its description in RNAcentral is "partial 16S ribosomal RNA". It matches the Rfam family "Bacterial small subunit ribosomal RNA", at positions 338 to 795 of the family's 1533-position model. The record is from RNAcentral.
CCUACGGGCGGCAGCAGUGGGGAAUAUUGCACAAUGGGGGAAACCCUGAUGCAGCGACGCCGCGUGAGUGCAGAAGUAUCUCGGUACGUAAAGCUCUAUCAGCAGGGAAGAAAAUGACGGUACCUGACUAAGAAGCCCCGGCUAACUCUGUGCCAGCAGCCGCGGUAAUACGUAGGGGGCAAGCGUUAUCCGGAUUUACUGGGUGUAAAGGGAGCGUAGACGGCAGCACAAGGCUGGAGUGAAAUCCCGGGGCUUAACCCCGGAACUGCUUUGGAAACUGUGCGGCUGGAGUGCAGGAGGGGUAAGCGGAAUUCCUAGUGUAGCGGUGAAAUGCGUAGAUAUUAGGAGGAACACCGGUGGCGAAGGCGGCUUACUGGACUGUAACUGACGUUGAGGCACGAAGGCGUGGGGAGCAAACGGGAUUAGAUACCCCUGUAGUC